RNAcentral lists this transfer RNA (69 nucleotides) under Liocranchia reinhardtii. RNAcentral describes it as "tRNA-Thr". It matches the Rfam family "tRNA". From Rfam's summary of the family: Transfer RNA (tRNA) molecules are approximately 80 nucleotides in length. Their secondary structure includes four short double-helical elements and three loops (D, anti-codon, and T loops). Lineage: Eukaryota; Metazoa; Mollusca; Cephalopoda; Oegopsida; Cranchiidae. The record is from RNAcentral.
GUUAUAAUAGUUUAUUUUAAAACAUUGGUCUUGUAAACCAAUAUUGGAAUAUUUAAAUUCCUUAUAACU